UGGGGAAUCUUGGACAAUGGGGGCAACCCUGAUCCAGCAAUCCCGCGUGUGUGAUGAAGGCCUUCGGGUUGUAAAGCACUUUUUGCAGGGAAGAAAUAGCCCGGGUGAAUAAUCCGGGUGACUGACGGUACCUGCGGAAUAAGCACCGGCUAACUACGUGCCAGCAGCCGCGGUAAUACGUAGGGUGCAAGCGUUAAUCGGAAUUACUGGGCGUAAAGGGUACGCAGGCGGCCAGGCAAGAAGGGUGUGAAAUCCCUGGGCUUAACCUAGGAAUUGCACUUUUAACUGCUUGGCUAGAGUACGUCAGAGGGGGGUGGAAUUCCACGUGUAGCAGUGAAAUGCGUAGAUAUGUGGAGGAACACCGAUGGCGAAGGCAGCCCCCUGGGAUGAUACUGACGCUCAGGUACGAAAGCGUGGGUAGCAAACAGGAUUAGAUACCCUGGUAGUCCACGCCCUAAACGAUGUCAACUAGCUGUUGGGGCCAAUAGGCCUUAGUAGCGCAGCUAACGCGUGAAGUUGACCGCCUGGGGACUACUGUCGCAUGGCU
Molecule: ribosomal RNA, 547 nt
Filed under: uncultured bacterium 20-45:2
Lineage: Bacteria
Description: bacterial SSU rRNA
Rfam family: Bacterial small subunit ribosomal RNA
Source: RNAcentral